RNAcentral lists this ribosomal RNA (253 nucleotides) under uncultured bacterium. RNAcentral describes it as "partial 16S ribosomal RNA". It matches the Rfam family "Bacterial small subunit ribosomal RNA", at positions 524 to 776 of the family's 1533-position model. The record is from RNAcentral.
UACGUAGGGUGCGAGCGUUAAUCGGAAUUACUGGGCGUAAAGGGUGCGCAGGCGGUUCAUCAAGCUUGAUGUGAAAUCCCCGAGCUUAACUUGGGACGGGCAUUGAGGACUGGUGAACUCGAGUCUGUCAGAGGGGGGUGGAAUGCCACAUGUAGCAGUGAAAUGCGUAGAGAUGUGGCGGAACACCGAUGGCGAAGGCAGCCCCCUGGGAUAAGACUGACGCUCAGGCACGAAAGCGUGGGUAGCAAACAGG